CGACCGCUGAGUAGGUGACGGCCACAUUGGGACUGAGACACGGCCCAAACUCCUACGGAAGGCAGCAG
RNAcentral lists this ribosomal RNA (68 nucleotides) under uncultured bacterium. RNAcentral's name for it is "partial 16S ribosomal RNA". The record is from RNAcentral.